This 253-nucleotide ribosomal RNA is filed under the name uncultured bacterium. RNAcentral's name for it is "partial 16S ribosomal RNA". It matches the Rfam family "Bacterial small subunit ribosomal RNA", at positions 524 to 776 of the family's 1533-position model. The record is from RNAcentral.
GACAGAGGGUGCAAGCGUUGUUCGGAAUUACUGGGCGUAAAGCGCGUGUAGGCUGCUCAGAAAGUCGGAUGUGAAAGCCCUGGGCUUAACCUAGGAAGUGCAGUCGAAACUUCUGAGCUUGAGUUCUGGAGAGGAAGGCGGAAUUCUCGGUGUAGAGGUGAAAUUCGUAGAUAUCGAGAGGAACACCGGUGGCGAAGGCGGCCUUCUGGACAGUGACUGACGCUGAGACGCGAAAGCGUGGGGAGCAAACAGG